GAGUUCAACAUUUCACAUUCACCCUAAACUGCUCUCCCCAGAUCAGGAGCUACUGGAGAUUUUGAAGGAAAACAGGCCUAUUCCUAAAAUGUAAAAAGUGAGCAUGAAAAUUGCAUCUGAUGAUGACUUUCAGGAGAAACAGUUAGUGUGCCUAUGCAAGGUGAUCCGUGUGGGACAGAGCCAGGACUAUUACGAAGCACUUGAUAGCUCACCAAGGAGGAUUGAUGAGAAAAUUCAUUAUAAGGAGUUUGGCUACCGCGAAAUGCAUUUCCUGGAAACGUUAACUCUGAUGGUGUGGUCCGGCACGAAUUACAGCAUCCGAUUAUUGCCCGCUAUGUGCGCAUAGUGCCUCUGGAUUGGAAUGAAGAAGGUCGCAUUGGACUCAGAGUUGAAGUUUACGGCUGUUCUUACUGGGCUGAUGUUAUCAACUUUGAUGGCCAUGUUGUAUUACCAUAUAGAUUCAGAAACAAGAAGAUGAAAACACUGAAAGAUGUCAUUGCCUUGAAAUUUAAGACGUCUGAAAGUGAAGGAGUAAUCUUGCACGGAGAAGGACAGCAAGGAGAUUACAUUACCUUGGAACUGAAAAAAGCCAAGCUGGUCCUCAGUUUAAACUUAGGAAGUAACCAGCUUGGCCCCAUAUAUGGCCACACAUCAGUGAUGACAGGAAGUUUGCUGGAUGACCACCACUGGCACUCUGUGGUCAUUGAGCGCCAGGGACGGAGCAUUAACCUCACUCUGGACAGGAGCAUGCAGCACUUCCGUACCAAUGGAGAGUUUGACUACCUGGACUUGGACUAUGAGAUAACCUUUGGAGGCAUCCCUUUCUCUGGCAAGCCCAGCUCCAGCAGUAGAAAGAAUUUCAAAGGCUGCAUGGAAAGCAUCAACUACAAUGGCAUCAACAUUACUGAUCUUGCCAGAAGGAAGAAAUUAGAGCCCUCAAAUGUGGGAAAUUUGAGCUUCUCUUGUGUGGAACCCUAUACGGUGCCUGUCUUUUUCAAUGCUACAAGUUACCUGGAGGUGCCUGGACGGCUUAACCAGGACCUGUUCUCAGUCAGUUUCCAGUUUAGGACAUGGAACCCCAAUGGUCUCCUGGUCUUCAGUCACUUUGCGGAUAAUUUGGGCAAUGUGGAGAUUGACCUCACUGAAAGCAAAGUGGGUGUUCACAUCAACAUCACACAGACCAAGAUGAGCCAAAUCGAUAUUUCCUCAGGUUCUGGGUUGAAUGAUGGACAGUGGCACGAGGUUCGCUUCCUAGCCAAGGAAAAUUUUGCUAUUCUCACCAUCGAUGGAGAUGAAGCAUCAGCAGUUCGAACUAAUAGUCCUCUUCAAGUUAAAACUGGCAAGAAGUACUUUUUUGGAGGUUUUCUGAACCAGAUGAAUAACUCAAGUCACUCUGUCCUUCAGCCUUCAUUCCAAGGAUGCAUGCAGCUCAUUCAAGUGGACGAUCAACUUGUAAAUUUAUACGAAGUGGCACAAAGGAAGCCGGGAAGUUUUGCGAAUGUCAGCAUUGACAUGUGUGCGAUCAUAGACAGAUGUGUGCCCAAUCACUGUGAGCAUGGUGGAAAGUGCUCGCAAACAUGGGACAGCUUCAAAUGCACUUGUGAUGAGACAGGAUACAGUGGGGCCACCUGCCACAACUCUAUCUACGAGCCUUCCUGUGAAGCCUACAAACACCUAGGACAGACAUCAAAUUAUUACUGGAUAGAUCCUGAUGGCAGCGGACCUCUGGGGCCUCUGAAAGUUUACUGCAACAUGACAGAGGACAAAGUGUGGACCAUAGUGUCUCAUGACUUGCAGAUGCAGACGCCUGUGGUCGGCUACAACCCAGAAAAGUACUCAGUGACACAGCUCGUUUACAGCGCCUCCAUGGACCAGAUAAGUGCCAUCACUGACAGUGCCGAGUACUGUGAGCAGUAUGUCUCCUAUUUCUGCAAGAUGUCAAGAUUGUUGAACACCCCAGAUGGAAGCCCUUACACUUGGUGGGUUGGCAAAGCCAACGAGAAGCACUACUACUGGGGAGGCUCUGGGCCUGGAAUCCAGAAAUGUGCCUGCGGCAUCGAACGCAACUGCACAGAUCCCAAGUACUACUGUAACUGCGACGCGGACUACAAGCAAUGGAGGAAGGAUGCUGGUUUCUUAUCGUACAAAGAUCACCUGCCAGUGAGCCAAGUGGUGGUUGGAGAUACUGACCGUCAAGGCUCAGAAGCCAAAUUGAGCGUAGGUCCUCUGCGCUGCCAAGGAGACAGGAAUUAUUGGAACGCCGCCUCUUUCCCAAACCCAUCCUCCUACCUACACUUCUCUACUUUCCAAGGGGAAACCAGCGCUGACAUUUCUUUCUACUUCAAAACAUUAACCCCCUGGGGAGUGUUUCUUGAAAAUAUGGGAAAGGAAGAUUUCAUCAAGCUGGAGCUGAAGUCUGCCACAGAAGUGUCCUUUUCAUUUGAUGUGGGAAAUGGGCCAGUAGAGAUUGUAGUGAGGUCACCAACCCCUCUCAACGAUGACCAGUGGCACCGGGUCACUGCAGAGAGGAAUGUCAAGCAGGCCAGCCUACAGGUGGACCGGCUACCCCAGCAGAUCCGCAAGGCCCCAACAGAAGGCCACACCCGCCUGGAGCUCUACAGCCAGUUAUUUGUGGGUGGUGCUGGGGGCCAGCAGGGCUUCCUGGGCUGCAUCCGCUCCUUGAGGAUGAAUGGGGUGACACUUGACCUGGAGGAAAGAGCAAAGGUCACAUCUGGGUUCAUAUCCGGAUGCUCGGGCCAUUGCACCAGCUAUGGAACAAACUGUGAAAACGGAGGAAAAUGCCUAGAGAGAUACCACGGUUACUCCUGCGAUUGCUCUAAUACUGCAUAUGAUGGAACAUUUUGCAACAAAGAUGUUGGCGCAUUUUUUGAAGAAGGGAUGUGGCUACGAUAUAACUUUCAGGCACCAGCAACAAAUGCCAGAGACUCCAGCAGCAGAGUAGACAACGCUCCCGACCAGCAGAACUCCCACCCGGACCUGGCACAGGAGGAGAUCCGCUUCAGCUUCAGCACCACCAAGGCGCCCUGCAUUCUCCUCUACAUCAGCUCCUUCACCACAGACUUCUUGGCAGUCCUCGUCAAACCCACCGGAAGCUUACAGAUUCGAUACAACCUGGGUGGCACCCGAGAGCCAUACAAUAUUGACGUAGACCACAGGAACAUGGCCAAUGGACAGCCCCACAGUGUCAACAUCACCCGCCACGAGAAGACCAUCUUUCUCAAGCUCGAUCAUUAUCCUUCUGUGAGUUACCAUCUGCCAAGUUCAUCCGACACCCUCUUCAAUUCUCCCAAGUCGCUCUUUCUGGGAAAAGUUAUAGAAACAGGGAAAAUUGACCAAGAGAUUCACAAAUACAACACCCCAGGAUUCACUGGUUGCCUCUCCAGAGUCCAGUUCAACCAGAUCGCCCCUCUCAAGGCCGCCUUGAGGCAGACAAACGCCUCGGCUCACGUCCACAUCCAGGGCGAGCUGGUGGAGUCCAACUGCGGGGCAUCGCCACUGACCCUCUCCCCCAUGUCGUCCGCCACCGACCCCUGGCACCUGGAUCACCUGGAUUCAGCCAGUGCGGAUUUUCCGUAUAAUCCAGGACAAGGCCAAGCUAUAAGAAAUGGAGUCAACAGAAACUCGGCUAUCAUUGGAGGCGUCAUUGCUGUGGUGAUUUUCACCAUCCUGUGCACCCUGGUCUUCCUGAUCCGGUACAUGUUCCGCCACAAGGGCACCUACCAUACCAACGAGGCAAAGGGGGCGGAGUCGGCAGAGAGCGCGGACGCCGCCAUCAUGAACAACGACCCCAACUUCACAGAGACCAUUGAUGAAAGCAAAAAGGAAUGGCUCAUUUGAGGGGUGGCUACUUGGCUAUGGGAUAGGGAGGAGGGAAUUACUAGGGAGGAGAGAAAGGGACAAAAGCACCCUGCUUCAUACUCUUGAGCACAUCCUUAAAAUAUCAGCACAAGUUGGGGGAGGCAGGCAAUGGAAUAUUCUU
Molecule: small RNA, 4000 nt
Filed under: Pan troglodytes (chimpanzee)
Lineage: Eukaryota; Metazoa; Chordata; Mammalia; Primates; Hominidae
Description: processed transcript
Source: RNAcentral